RNAcentral lists this long non-coding RNA (628 nucleotides) under Homo sapiens (human). RNAcentral describes it as "long intergenic non-protein coding RNA 1013". The record is from RNAcentral. Lineage: Eukaryota; Metazoa; Chordata; Mammalia; Primates; Hominidae.
GGGGUGAAGGGAAAUGCCACAGACAUCCAUGGUCUUGGAUGCUCAACAGAAGUGCUUGCCUUGGUGAUCCAAAAAAGGCAGGAUCCGGCCGGGGGCAAGGUGAUUAUUCUGUCUGAUGAGGAGAAUAAGAGCCAGUUUGUGGUAUUGACAGAAGAAUGAAAGUAAAGUCUUGAAAGAUGGGAAGAUCAGGAGCAGUCUGGAGUCAUGGUAUAUGAAUGAACUAGUGAGAGUGGGCACAAAGUCUGAAGAUCUUUGUAGUGCAGCUAAUGUCUAAGGGAGAAUAUACCUACCCUAGAAGAGACAUUAAACAACCAGGCCCCCAAAAGAUGAACUCCAAUCUGCUGCCCCUAAACGCAUUCUCCACUGUCUGGAAGAUGUGCAAAGGCAACGGCACAGCGUUCUCCAUCUCAAAUCCUUCAAAGUGCUGUCAGAAUAAAAGAAUCCCCACCAAAAGCCCCAGGGAAAUCUAUCUGUCUGUAUGGUAUGGUAAUGACUGAGGUUAUUCCAGAUAGGAUUCUGGGAGAAACUCAGCUAUUGAAAUCUAAUGAAUGGAACUGAGAAUUUCUUGUUAUAAUACUGUUUGUUUGAUUGAAUAUAUCCUUGCAUAUAGGAAGACAUAAAAAUAAAU